This 253-nucleotide ribosomal RNA is filed under the name uncultured bacterium. Its description in RNAcentral is "partial 16S ribosomal RNA". It matches the Rfam family "Archaeal small subunit ribosomal RNA", at positions 474 to 727 of the family's 1478-position model. The record is from RNAcentral.
UACCAGCACCCCGAGUGGUCGGGACGUUUUAUUGGGCCUAAAGCAUCCGUAGCCGGUUCUACAAGUCUUCCGUUAAAUCCAGCUGCUUAACAGAUGGGCUGCGGAAGAUACUAUGGAGCUAGGAGCGGGAGAGGCAAGCGGUACUCGAUGGGUAGGGGUAAAAUCCGUUGAUCCAUUGAAGACCACCAGUGGCGAAGGCGGCUUGCCAGAACGCGCUCGACGGUGAGGGAUGAAAGCUGGGGGAGCAAACCGG